CGAAGGCAGCUCACUGGACUGCAACUGACACUGAUGCUCGAAAGUGUGGGUAUCAAACAGGAUUAGAUACCCUGGUAGUCCACACAGUAAACGAUGAAUACUCGCUGUUUGCGAUAUACAGUAAGCGGCCAAGCGAAAGCAUUAAGUAUUCCACCUGGGGAGUACGCCGGCAACGGUGAAACUCAAAGGAAUUGACGGGGGCCCGCACAAGCGGAGGAACAUGUGGUUUAAUUCGAUGAUACGCGAGGAACCUUACCCGGGCUUAAAUUGCAGUGGAAUGAUGUGGAAACAUGUCAGUGAGCAAUCACCGCUGUGAAGGUGCUGCAUGGUUGUCGUCAGCUCGUGCCGUGAGGUGUCGGCUUAAGUGCCAUAACGAGCGCAACCCUUAUCUUCAGUUACUAACAGGUCAUGCUGAGGACUCUGGAGAGACUGCCGUCGUAAGAUGUGAGGAAGGUGGGGAUGACGUCAAAUCAGCACGGCCCUUACGUCCGGGGCUACACACGUGUUACAAUGGGGGGUACAGAAGGCAGCUAGCGGGUGACCGUAUGCUAAUCCCAAAAUCCUCUCUCAGUUCGGAUCGAAGUCUGCAACCCGACUUCGUGAAGCUGGAUUCGCUAGUAAUCGCGCAUCAGCCACGGCGCGGUGAAUACGUUCCCGGGCCUUGUACACACCGCCCGUCAAGCCAUGGGAGCCGGGGGUACCUGAAGUACGUAACCGCAAGGAUCGUCCUAGGGUAAAACUGGUGACUGGGGCUAAGUCGUAACAAGGUAACCA
RNAcentral lists this ribosomal RNA (774 nucleotides) under uncultured bacterium. RNAcentral describes it as "bacterial SSU rRNA". It matches the Rfam family "Bacterial small subunit ribosomal RNA", at positions 716 to 1502 of the family's 1533-position model. The record is from RNAcentral.